AACAUUGAAGUAAAAUUUACAUUUAGUUUCGACCUAAAAUAAGGGUUACCCCUAUGUUU
This 59-nucleotide transfer RNA is filed under the name Centrotus cornutus. RNAcentral's name for it is "tRNA-Arg". The record is from RNAcentral. Lineage: Eukaryota; Metazoa; Arthropoda; Insecta; Hemiptera; Membracidae.